Molecule: unclassified non-coding RNA, 335 nt
Filed under: soil metagenome
Description: partial contains 5.8S ribosomal RNA, internal transcribed spacer 2, and large subunit ribosomal RNA
Rfam family: 5.8S ribosomal RNA (bases 1-120)
Source: RNAcentral
GAUGAAGAACGUAGCGAAAUGCGAUAAGUAAUGUGAAUUGCAGAAUUCAGUGAAUCAUCGAAUCUUUGAACGCACAUUGCGCCCAUUAGUAUUCUAGUGGGCAUGCCUGUUCGAGCGUCAUUUCAACCCUUAAGCCUAGCUUAGUAUUGGGAAUCGACUUUACUGUCGUUCCUCAAAUUCAACGGCGGAUUUAUAGCAAUCUCUGAACGUAGUAAUUUUUUUCCUCGUUUUUGAAAUACUAUAAACCUCAGCCGCUAAACCCCCAAUUUUUUUAUGGUUGACCUCGGAUCAGGUAGGAAUACCCGCUGAACUUAAGCAUAUCAAUAAGCGGAGGA